GAUGGUAUAAGAGAGCUUCCUUUAGUCCACUCAUAGGUAGACGAAGGAUUUGAAUUAUCUCCCGACUCAUUCAUUCAAACGCAAUAGGAAGUAUGUAAUCUUAUACUAUUGUGAAUGUGUGAAUGAUGCGGGAGAUAAAUUCUCUCCUUUUUAUCUGUGCUUGGACUGAAGGGAGCUCCCUUUUACCUUCUU
Solanum lycopersicum (tomato) is the source of this 192-nucleotide non-coding RNA. NCBI's taxonomy places the organism in Eukaryota, Viridiplantae, Streptophyta, Magnoliopsida, Solanales, Solanaceae. The record is from Rfam.